AAGAUGGGUCUGCACUGCAGGAUACCCAUUCUCUGUUGGGAUGCCACGUAUGGGAAAAUAUCGUUUUAGAGUGACUUACCCAGUAAUCCAAAUUAAAUCCUGAGACAAUUACCCAUAGAGGGUGAUAGCCCCGUAGGACUGAUGAUGAGACUACCUAGGUAUGACUCAAAAUUGAUAUUUUCUCGUGAGUCAGGUUACUUGAGAUUGUAGCCUAAAGAGGAGGUAUAUUCCUUCUAAAGCUAAAUAUGACUGUGAGACCGAUAGCGAACAAGNUACCAUGAGGGAAAGUUGAAAAGAACACUGAAAAGAGAGUUCAAUAGACCGUGAAGCGGUUACCGGGUAAUAAAACGGAUAUAGUGGCGUGUGUCGAACGAGGAGUUGAGCUAAAACUUUAUGGAUUUCAUGGGGUAACCCCUGUGUUUUCUGUAUUGCGAAGAUUUCGAAAGUAACGCGAGAUGCGACGACGUAUGUGCAGAUUAAUCGGCUACGUUUGUCCCCUUGCGCCAAAUCUUAAUUUGAAGCGACUCACUCUUGUAGGCCUUCACACGAAUUGAUAAGUUGUCUAAGAACCGUGUUCGAGAGUUUAA
This 587-nucleotide ribosomal RNA is filed under the name Jaera italica. RNAcentral's name for it is "LSU rRNA". It matches the Rfam family "Eukaryotic large subunit ribosomal RNA", at positions 96 to 634 of the family's 3401-position model. The record is from RNAcentral. Lineage: Eukaryota; Metazoa; Arthropoda; Malacostraca; Isopoda; Janiridae.